AUUGAACGCUGGCGGCAUGCCUUACACAUGCAAGUCGAACGGCAGCACGGAGCUUGCUCUGGUGGCGAGUGGCGAACGGGUGAGUAAUAUAUCGGAACGUACCCUAGAGUGGGGGAUAACGUAGCGAAAGUUACGCUAAUACCGCAUACGAUCUAAGGAUGAAAGUGGGGGAUCGCAAGACCUCAUGCUCGUGGAGCGGCCGAUAUCUGAUUAGCUAGUUGGUAGGGUAAAAGUCUACCAAGGCAUCGAUCAGUAGCUGGUCUGAGAGGACGACCAGCCACACUGGAACUGAGACACGGUCCAGACUCCUACGGGAGGCAGCAGUGGGGAAUUUUGGACAAUGGGCGAAAGCCUGAUCCAGCAAUGCCGCGUGAGUGAAGAAGGCCUUCGGGUUGUAAAGCUCUUUUGUCAGGGAAGAAACGGUGGGAGCUAAUAUCUCUUGCUAAUGACGGUACCUGAAGAAUAAGCACCGGCUAACUACGUGCCAGCAGCCGCGGUAAUACGUAGGGUGCAAGCGUUAAUCGGAAUUACUGGGCGUAAAGCGUGCGCAGGCGGUUUUGUAAGUCUGAUGUGAAAUCCCCGGGCUCAACCUGGGAAUUGCAUUGGAGACUGCAAGGCUAGAAUCUGGCAGAGGGGGGUAGAAUUCCACGUGUAGCAGUGAAAUGCGUAGAUAUGUGGAGGAACACCGAUGGCGAAGGCAGCCCCCUGGGUCAAGAUUGACGCUCAUGCACGAAAGCGUGGGGAGCAAACAGGAUUAGAUACCCUGGUAGUCCACGCCCUAAACGAUGUCUACUAGUUGUCGGGUCUUAAUUGACUUGGUAACGCAGCUAACGCGUGAAGUAGACCGCCUGGGGAGUACGGUCGCAAGAUUAAAACUCAAAGGAAUUGACGGGGACCCGCACAAGCGGUGGAUGAUGUGGAUUAAUUCGAUGCAACGCGAAAAACCUUACCUACCCUUGACAUGGCUGGAAUCCUUGAGAGAUCAGGGAGUGCUCGAAAGAGAACCAGUACACAGGUGCUGCAUGGCUGUCGUCAGCUCGUGUCGUGAGAUGUUGGGUUAAGUCCCGCAACGAGCGCAACCCUUGUCAUUAGUUGCUACGAAAGGGCACUCUAAUGAGACUGCCGGUGACAAACCGGAGGAAGGUGGGGAUGACGUCAAGUCCUCAUGGCCCUUAUGGGUAGGGCUUCACACGUCAUACAAUGGUACAUACAGAGCGCCGCCAACCCGCGAGGGGGAGCUAAUCGCAGAAAGUGUAUCGUAGUCCGGAUUGUAGUCUGCAACUCGACUGCAUGAAGUUGGAAUCGCUAGUAAUCGCGGAUCAGCAUGUCGCGGUGAAUACGUUCCCGGGUCU
This 1352-nucleotide ribosomal RNA is filed under the name uncultured bacterium. RNAcentral's name for it is "bacterial SSU rRNA". It matches the Rfam family "Bacterial small subunit ribosomal RNA", at positions 28 to 1381 of the family's 1533-position model. The record is from RNAcentral.